ACUCGGCCGCCAGCGCCAUCACCCUCUCCACGGCCGCGACCGCCGCGCUGGUCCUGCGCAUCCGGGGGUCCAUCACCACCACCACGUCGCCCUCCCUGCACUUCCGCAGCGCCUGCGUCCACAUGAGACAUAUGCAGUCACAGGAUAACAUGUACAUGAUGAAUGAAGAGAGAAAGAUUGGCGAGGAGCGAGGCAGUUUGUGCAUGCUCCGGCAAUCGUCGUAGCAGCUUCUUCCCAGAAUGAUUUCCUGCUCCUGGCCUUCUCCUCAGGCACACUGGAAGGAGGUGUAUAGGUGGAUGCCCUGUAGAAGACCGG
Triticum dicoccoides is the source of this 315-nucleotide long non-coding RNA. RefSeq lists it as uncharacterized. The transcript is spliced from 3 exons. The record is from RefSeq and is a predicted model, not a curated record. Lineage: Eukaryota; Viridiplantae; Streptophyta; Magnoliopsida; Poales; Poaceae.